AGAUUAAGUUAUUAAGGGCGCACGGUGGAUGCCUUGGCACUAGAAGCCGACGAAGGACGUUACUAACGACGAUAUGCUUUGGGGAGCUGUAAGUAAGCUUUGAUCCA
RNAcentral lists this ribosomal RNA (107 nucleotides) under Staphylococcus pseudintermedius. RNAcentral's name for it is "partial 23S ribosomal RNA". It matches the Rfam family "Bacterial large subunit ribosomal RNA", at positions 1 to 106 of the family's 2925-position model. Lineage: Bacteria; Bacillati; Bacillota; Bacilli; Caryophanales; Staphylococcaceae. The record is from RNAcentral.